AGCAGCCGCGGUAAUUCCAGCUCCAAUAGCGUAUAUUAAAGUUGUUGCAGUUAAAAAGCUCGUAGUUGAAUUUCGGGACUAAUAUGUCGGUCGUACUUUGUACGUACUAGCAUUAUUGGUUUCUCUCUUCCGACGAACCACGAUGUCAUUAAUUUGGUGUCAUGGGAAAUCAGGACUGUUACUUUGAAAAAAUUAGAGUGUUUAAAGCAAGCUCGCGCUUGAAUACAUUAGCAUGGAAUAAUGAAAUAGGACGUUUGAUUCUAUUUUGUUGGUUUCUAGGAUCGACGUAAUGAUUAAUAGGGAUAGUUGGGGGCAUUAGUAUUCAAUUGUCAGAGGUGAAAUUCUUGGAUUUAUUGAAGACUAACUACUGCGAAAGCAUUUGCCAAGGAUGUUUUCAUUAAUCUAAGAACGAAAGUUAGGGGAUCGAAGACGAUCAGAUACCGUCGUAGUCUUAACCAUAAACUAUGCCGACUAGGGAUCGGAUGAUGUUAAUUUUUAAUGACUCAUUCGGCGCCUUACG
This 520-nucleotide ribosomal RNA is filed under the name uncultured Glomus. RNAcentral's name for it is "SSU rRNA". It matches the Rfam family "Eukaryotic small subunit ribosomal RNA", at positions 569 to 1092 of the family's 1831-position model. The record is from RNAcentral. Lineage: Eukaryota; Fungi; Glomeromycota; Glomeromycetes; Glomerales; Glomeraceae.